RNAcentral lists this microRNA (22 nucleotides) under Heliconius melpomene (postman butterfly). Its description in RNAcentral is "Hme-Mir-3-P16_3p (mature (guide))". Lineage: Eukaryota; Metazoa; Arthropoda; Insecta; Lepidoptera; Nymphalidae. The record is from RNAcentral.
UCACUGGGUGUUUAACAGAUGU